Molecule: long non-coding RNA, 2600 nt
Organism: Cavia porcellus (domestic guinea pig)
Lineage: Eukaryota; Metazoa; Chordata; Mammalia; Rodentia; Caviidae
Exons: 2
Source: RefSeq, a predicted model, not a curated record
ACACAUCCUUUCCUGCUGGGACUGUUUGUGAACCAGCUUUCUUUAUACACACUAAUGAACCUAAGUAAUCGGUGGACGCCUAUGCAGGGGUGAGGAGGGCGAAGCAGGCAGGUCUGAUGCCAGUCGCUGUAAACUUCUCAAGUGACCGUGAGAGGCCCAUGCUUCCUGGUGCCAGGUCUUGCCAUCCAACAUCAGCCACUUUCUCUCCGCGUUGUCCACGCGGCUGUGGGGCCCGAGAUCCCUGAGACGCGGUCACCUAGUAACAAGUGGUCUCUGAGGACGCCCGCGCCUAGAGAAGGUCCAGCUCAGCCAACUCAGGCCAGAGCCACCACAUUCCAGGCCACGGGGCUUGCACAAGGCGGAGAGAUGGGGAGGGUGGGGAUGGUGCGGCUGGAACCCUGGACCUCCGCGGUCAGGCAGGGGCAGCGGGGUGCGCUGGGGUGCGCUGCCCUGCGAGCAUUUCCACAUUUCCUCUGCAGCUGGCCCGGCCCAGAAAUAGCAGGGGUGGGGUCCCCCUGCGCCCCACCCCGCCCCUCCUCCCUUCGCUCCCUGACCCUGGGGCCUCCUCUCUGCCCUUCUCCUCCUUCCUCUUUCUCUCUUCUGUCCCAUCCUCCCCUCCUCCCUGAGCUGCGCCCCAGCCGCAGGGGUGGGGAGGGGACCGCUGUGCGCACCCUGCCCUCGGCUCUCACCUGCCUGGCUGCGCAAGCAGGGGAAGUGGGCCAGCCCGGGCUGGUGCUGGGUGCUGGGUGCUGGAUGCUGGGUGAGGGGUGCUGGGGACCGCCCGCUACCGAGCCUCUCCUGGACGCCUAGCGAACCCCGGCGGUGGACCGGCCGCGCAGGAGCCCAGAGUCACCUCCCCUGCAGUCUCCACGCCCGCACCUCGGACCCUGUCGAGUCCUCGCGCCGCCCCGCCCUGCCCCCUAGCGCCCGCCGUGGGGAACGCGGCUCUGACGCCUGAGACCCGUGCCCAGCUGUGCCCAGGUGAGGUCCUUGGCGCUGUUCCUCGGAAGCCUCGGGAGACCCUUCCUCGCUUCUCCUAGACCCUGCCCAGGCCGCCUAGCCACCGCCUCUGCCCACCAUGUGCCCGCCGGUCCCGGGAGGCCCGCUUCUGUCUGUGGGCUGGCUGCAGAUCCAGGUCACUGUCUUGGAGCAAGGACUGCCCCCCAGAGCUCUAGGGGACCAGGUCGUCCCCGUAGGAGAGCGGCAGUGCCUUGGCGUCAGGGGCCGUGUCCUGCAGCCCUCGUGGUGAGCGAGGUCGGAAGCACUGACCUCUCCCCGUCUGAGGAGUGUCUGGCUGUUCCCUGGCGCCUUCUGAGUCUCUCCUGGGACUGCUUCCAGUGCUCCCUUCCCUGGCACAGCAUAGACCUUUCGCUGACCAUGACAGGCACUGGGCCCUCAGCGCUUGGCAGACACAACUCAGCUUCCCUUUGAAACAGCUCCAGACCUGAGGAGACGUCCCCCGGGAAGCCCUCACCCUGGUGUGCACCCCACACUGAGGCCGAGGCCGCAGCCUCACCGCUGUGUCGUGGGUGCACCUGCCUCUGCGGGAUCCAGGGCGGGGCCAGUGGGGACUGACUGUCCAGCAAGUGGUUAUUUUCCCCAGGCUUGUGGAAGGCUGUCUUAGCUCACCGCCCUCCAUGUGCGCCCUGCAGAGGCGCAGCUGCGCGAAGGGGAUGUGGGACAAAAGAGAGGGAGAGGAAAUUGGUGAAUUUCCUGGUCAGUUUCCCAGUGCCCAGGAAAGAGGGCUCUGGCAGAGUGACUUGGGAGCUGCUGUCCUGGGCAUCGAGGAUGCAGGUUACCAGAGCUGCAGACAAAAAGGCCACCAGGUCUAUCUACCCCUGUGCCUCACCCAGGUAUGAGAGGGAGGAAGGACCCCCCCUGGCCACACCAAGCAGGCUUGGACACGUGGCCCUCCGGUCCAUAAGCCUGGGAACUCCGAGUGACCUUAACCUCGACGGGCUCAGAACCACCAACCUCCUCCUCCCGUCUCCACCCAGGGGCCCCUUGACCUGAAAACUUCUGUACAUGAAAUAAACUGUGUGAAACAGGAAGCAUCAAUAUGACCACUGAGUCCAACUUGCAGAAACUCAAAGCUCUCAAGGAUUCAGGCAGGGUGACUGAGCUGCAGGACCACGGUUAAGCUACAGCCAGCCCUCCCAACUCCUGCCCUCGGCAACCCACAGGCCUCCCCCAGCUCUGCCAGCUGGCUCUGAGGCUCUAGGAUUUCAGACCAGUCAUCAAACAUAACUACGGAGCCCUGUGGUCCUCUCCGCGAGCGCCACUCCCAAGAAAAGCGAGGCAGUUUGGUUACGAGAAAGCCUGCAGUUUCGCUUAGCUUUGUUGUGUUUGGCUGUUUGGUUACAGGCCCAGUUAUCACCUUCUAGAAUCUUCUGUCCUCCCCCUAAACUCCAGCUGAGCUCUGAGGUUCAGAAGUUCUCAAGGAAACCAGCACCGGCUAUGAAGACCUGGAAGGGUUUUGUGUGUGUGUGUUUUCUUUCAUUAAGUAACCUCUUUAAUGUCUGUUUAUGGUCAGGCGCAGUCUGAAGCUUCACAUAGCAAUGUCUGAUUAAACGAUGCCCAGUCUGUCCUGGGGCAAUAGA